CAGCCGCCGCGGGAAUACGAAGGGGGCUAGCGUUGCUCGGAAUGACUGGGCGUAAAGGGCGCGUAGGCGGAUGGCACAGUCAGAUGUGAAAUUCCCGGGCUUAACCUGGGGGCUGCAUUUGAUACGUGUUGUCUAGAGUGAGGAAGAGGGUUGUGGAAUUCCCAGUGUAGAGGUGAAAUUCGUAGAUAUUGGGAAGAACACCGGUGGCGAAGGCGGCAACCUGGUCCUUGACUGACGCUGAGGCGCGAAAGCGUGGGGAGCAAACAGGAUUAGAGACCCCUGUAGUCCCUGUCUCUUAUAC
RNAcentral lists this ribosomal RNA (301 nucleotides) under uncultured bacterium. Its description in RNAcentral is "partial 16S ribosomal RNA". It matches the Rfam family "Bacterial small subunit ribosomal RNA", at positions 509 to 807 of the family's 1533-position model. The record is from RNAcentral.